Molecule: long non-coding RNA, 1812 nt
Organism: Monodelphis domestica (gray short-tailed opossum)
Lineage: Eukaryota; Metazoa; Chordata; Mammalia; Didelphimorphia; Didelphidae
Source: RefSeq, a predicted model, not a curated record
AGCUGGCAGCUCGCUGCGCUGGUUUCCACCCACUCGCAUUCACAGGGAAACUUGCUUCAAUUGGACCUUUCUGUUCAAUGCCUUGUCUUUGCUAAAGAAAUUGUAAGGAUUCCACGACAAUGAGCGCAUUGAUUUCAGAUUUGUGAUGCCUUCAAAUUUGAUGAGAAUAAAUCUAAAUCUAUGCCUUUAUCCAUACAUUGGAGUAUGUAUGGUACAGAAGACUUCCAAGCUGGAUUUCAAUGACUCUGGAAAAGAGAGUGAGGCUAAGGACUUUGUGCAACUUGCCUCACCUAAAUUUAACUCAAGGUGCUUUUAAUAGAUCAAGAGUGAAAUGAUUCUUCAAAAAUAUCAUCUACGUAAAAGAAAACUGAAGUAAAACAAAAUGCACAGUUUUGGUUUUAAGGCAAAAGAUUACAUCAUGCAAAAUGCCAAAUUGGAGAAAUCAAAAACCAAAAUUAAGGUUGAAGAAGAAAUAUUAAUAAUUUUACACAUGCAGAUAACACUAUGAUGGCAGAAAGUGAAGAAGAAUUAAGAAGCCUCUUGAUGAGAGUGAGAGAAGGGUGUAAAAGUUGACUUGAAGCUUAAUAUUUAAAAACCAAAUAUUAUGGCAUCUGGUCCCAUUAUUUCCUGGCAAACAGAGAAAGAAGAAAUGGAAACUGUUAAAUUUUAUAUUCUUAGGUUCAAAGAUCAUUGCAGAAGGUGACUCCAGCCAUGAAAUGAAAAGAUGCUUGCUCCUUGGAAGGAAAGCUAUGGCAAAUCUGGACAGCAUAUUAAAAAGCAGAGCUAUCUCCUUGCUGGCAAAGGUCACAUACAGUCAAAGCCAGUAGUAAUAGCCAGAUGUGAGAACUGGACUAUCAGGAAAAGUGGGGCUACAGAAUCUACACUUUCAAAUUGUGAUGCUUGAGAAGACUUUUGAGAAUUCCUUGGAUAGCAAGGAGAUCAAAUCAAUCAACUCUUAAAAGAAAUUAAUUUUGACUAUUCAUUGUAAGGACAAACACUGAAGCUGAAGUACUUGGGCCACAUAAUGAAGUGGCAGGACUCAUAGGAAAAGACUCUGAUGCUGGGAAAGAGUGAAAGCAAAAGAAGGCAAUAGCAGACGAUAAGAUGGAUAGAUAGUGUCAUGGACGGAACACUCAUGAACUUAGACAGAUUUCAAGAGAUAGUGGAGGAUAGAAGAGUCCCAGCAUAUUAUGGUCCACACAAUCAUGAACCAUCCGACAUGACUGAACAACUGAAAAACUAUAUUCUUCUAGAUCCUGUCAUUCAGUGUAUUCCCAGCUUUGUGUUAUCUGAAAAUGUGAUGGAAAAAAAUGGUUAUCAUUCUUCUGUUUCCCACCUUCUUGAAUUUUUAUGAGCUGCUUCUCAUUCCCAGAAUGCACCUAUUAAAAUCUUUCUUUCCCUUUAAGACUCAGAAAAAGUGUCACUUCUUCAAUUAAGCCUUGUCUAAUCACCCCAACUAACACAUUUUCUGGUUCUAAUGCCUCUUUUCUGGAUCUCUCUUUUGCCCUUAACACACUUUAUCUGCUACUAUACAUAUUUGUAUACAUUUCACAAAACCCACAAUAGAAUGUAAGCUCUCCAAAGGCAGGGCUCAUACUGCUUUUUGUUUUAUCUGAAGCACUUUGCCCAGUACCUUGUACAGAGUGGUUGCUUAAUCAGUAUUUAUAAAUUUGAACUUUGAUUGAGAUGGGGGGUUGCAAGAGAAAAUUUUUAAGGUUUUUUCAAAACCUAAGACUAUAUAAAUUAGAUAUAAAAGAAAAUAAAAAGUAAAAUUUCAAUAAAGUCAAAGGAAUAAAUAAUAUCCAGUGUCUA